AUAGCCUUGGCAAAGCAAAGCCCUGUAGUAAUCCAAUCCAAUCCAAGCUCUAGCCAUCGUUUUAAGGGCAGCGGAGCAUCGUUUUCACGUGCCGUGCCUGCCGAAGUUUCCUGCUCAGCUACUAAGGUGCCAGCAUGCCUAGACUGCGGGAGAAGCCGUACACGCGAAAGAGAGCGUCGCUGGAAACAAAGACGAUAUUCGAGGAUUUCGGAUCUCGCACCGGCAACCAGCAGUCAACGGCUCAAGAAUUCGCAAGUCUAGAACUGUGCAGUGGCGCAUAUACGCCACACACUUGCAUUAACAUGUGCAGUUGUGCUGUCCCUGCAAACAUUUGUUCGCCUUGUGAUGCUGGCCGCUGCACCGAGGCGACAUCGGAAGUUCAGGAUGGUGGUUGUGACACUACGCGCAUUAAGGACAAUGUGCCUUGCUUCCCUAAUGGAUCGACUCUACGUGACUCUUCGGAUGGUUCACUUCGCUGUGAGAAGGGAACAGGAUCCUUCAGGAGAAAUGUACGCACAAGUCAAUGUGGGUUCUCUGGUGACCGCUGUGCAGUCAUCAAGUUUCCAGAGAAGGGUGACUCUGUGGUUCUUGUACAUACCAAGCGGCUGCAUGGUGAUGUGUGCUUGUGGCCACAGGAUUUCAAGAAUAUUUCGUAUUUAGCAACAUGUGGAGCAUUUCCAUCGUCCAUCUGGCAAGUUGUGCCUUGUGUGCCCAUAGACACAUUCAGAACAUAUAAUGCAGGGCAACAAAAACUCAAGCAAGCUGAAAAAUGGGUCAGACUUGGAGAGUGAGGUGGACCUGGGAAGGGGCAAAAGAAAGAAGCAACGAAGAACCCUUGCUCAAGUCUGGAAAGUGUGCAGCGACUACCACUUCCACCGCCCUCUGUGAUGAAAAGAGCACAGAAGAGGUAUGGGAGAUCUGUUCACAAGCAGUCAUCACAUGCAUCAACAUCUAGGGCGAAUGCUGCCAACGUGUGCAGUGAUGUAGGUGCAGUACAGUGUGAACAAAUGUGUGCAAGCGAGACUUCAGACUCUGAGGGUGAGGUUGACUCUGGAGGGGAACAAGAUGCAAAGCAAAAAUCGUCAGGCAUUGAAAGAUCAUUGACAGCUCACUCUUUUAUGAAAAGGCCCUUCUGACCUCAUCGCUAGUUACAGGAGAGUUUCUGUAUCCUGUUCAUUACUGUUUCUAAGUGCGGUAUCGUGACUCCUCUGGGUACUGUAUACAGCAUUGUCAAAGCCUUGUAUAAAUCAACUUUGAAGUUAUCUAUAUAAGGGAAUUAUCCUUUGCCAAACUGCAGCACCUAAUUUUGCCCAAGGACAAACCGAAUGCAACAACUGUACGAACUAAUUCUCAGGGGACUUGACGUCAACGGGAUGAGCAAGCUCGUAGCAUCCACUGAAAUUUUGGAGCUUUCUAUUUACCUCGCAAGAACACGACCAAAAAAACCUCAUUAAACCACUCAUAAGCUCUGGAAUGAAGUGGUGAGCCAUAUCAUGUCUUAAUGACUUAUGUUGUGUAUACUUCCACAGAAGCAUGUUGCAUCAUCAUGUGCUGUUAGUGAAAUAUAAUGGCUGUUGCAGUGCUGCGGAGAAUAUGUUGUGUGAGUGGGGAGAGUGACUUUUGAUUGCAUGCAUCAUGUAUCAUACAUCAUCGUAUCCUGUGGCACCCUAGGCCGUUGAAUUGAUAGUGCAUGAAGCCCAGUGUCCCAUGUGAUCUAGAAUUUCACAUUGUCUAGCAUUUCUUGCCAUUACCCACCGUGAUUGUUUAAUGGCUAUGGUGUUAGGCUAAGUACGAGGUCGCGGGAUCGAAUACCAGCUGCAGCAGCCGCAUUUCGAUGGGGGCGAAAUGUGAGGACACCCAAGUGCACGUUAAAGAAUCCCAGGUGGUACAAAUUUCCGGAGUCCCACACUACAGUGUCCCUCAUAAUCAGAUUGUGGUUUUGGUAUGUUAAGCCCCAUUAUUAAAUUUUUAAAUUUCUUGCUGUUUAAGCACAAGUAUAUCGUCAGCAUAUUGUCAGAGUACAUUGAUAAAUUUACUGAAUCUGCUAGGCAUUAGUGCUUGUGUGCUCUUACGUUGCCUUUUCUUGAUGUCCACUUUUUAAUUUUUUUAUGGUGUUCAGACUAAAGUUGUUUGUUGGUUCUGAUGUCUUCUUCUUCCUUGCCGGUAAUGACCUAUGUUAAGAUUUUUCUAAUAUUAAGUUGUUACACUAGUUAGCUUAACCAAUUUCUUUCAUUGCAUUAACAUGUUCAUGUUCUUGUGCUGUUUGAAUGUACAGCAUGUCCAUGGAGUUUUUGGUCGACAUUAAGAUGCCUGUUGUGAGGUGAGGACUCGUGGUCAUGUCUGCCAAUGAGAAACUGCUUAGGCAGGUUAGGCGGACAUGUAAUGGAGAACCACUAAGGGCUCAUUGAGAUUGGCAUUGGAGAACGGUCGUGCGAUAGACUGCAACUGGCAAUGAAGGAGCGACUCAUGACGAUCGAUGUUCACACCAACAAGUACGACCUGCCUGUCACCACGCAGAAAUGUCUCUCCAUUGACUCCAUUUUACGUCUGCUCGCACCGCAGUCACCACGUAAAAUAAGCAUCAGUGUAUAGAGACUUCCUGCUGCUGUGCCACUGAUUGGUUCCAUAGGUUUGUCAGCACAAUUGCACGACUCAAAAAUCGAGCAGCAAACCGACCCGGAAGUGUCGUUUUUCAACCAAAGCGAUCAUUUGCAACCGACUCGGUUCCACGACUUAUGCAAGUCGCUGGUAUGAACUUGCUGUGGGGGUUUUGAUAUCAUAGUUACCUGUACUGACAUUUGUGCACCUUCAGCACGCUUUUGAAAACUGAAAUGAACAUUUUACUUCUGUAGUGUUGAUUAACUCCCAAUAUGUUGCAGGUAGCAUGGGACCUAUUAGGCUACCUUGCUAUUUAUAUGCCACCAGGAACAGGAGACACGCAGCUUUCGAUCUCCCAUAACAUUCUAGUGUCAGCCUCAAACCUACAAGGACAUGGCCCCAAAAAAUUACCCCGAAGUUACCAGUUUGAGUAAACUUUAACUAGCAUUGCUUUGAGCAUGUAGUUAUCACUGCACCAACAAGUACAAAUCUGUCAUGCUUGUAGAUGGCAGUAGAAAGCGUUUAGAAUUUCUAGCAUAUAUUAGAAAAGUUAGUUGUAACUGGAACAGUGAUUCUGCUUUUGCAGAUGUGUGAUUUUGCCAAGAUGUAUGGCACCUGGGUGUCAGUGUCAUAAGGAAGUGCCAUGCCAAUGUGUUGGUGAAUAAUUAUGUAUGUUAAUGUGGCGAUGCUUGCAGUAGAUUAUGAGUAGCGAAGCUCAGCAAAGCCAAUACAGGAAUUCGUCUGAUCAAAAGGUUGAGAGACGACCCUCAAUUUCUUUUUCUCUAAUAAAGCAUUCAAUAACUUUACUGGGGAAUUUCUUUUUUGAAGCUCCAAAAAAGAAUUUCAGAAAGUUAGCUUAUCUUGGAUUACUAUAUUCUGCUCUGCAUUGUGAAUGUAAAUUCUAACAAUUGGCUUGUGGGGUUUGAUGCUGACCCAAAGUAACAAGGGACUUAUGCAAAAUACACUGUGGUAGCUGCAGCAAGAGGGUUCCGUAUUUAAUUUCACCACCCGAGUUCUUUAUGUGCUCCAGAUGCUUGGUAUUUGGGUGUUAUUGCACCCUGCCCCCGUUGGAAGGCAGCUUCUGCAGAGGUGUGAGACGGGGCUAGUUGAUAUUCCAUGAUGAUGUAACCAGCCCGAGAGGCAGUGCCUAUUGCAGGCAGCAACUGUGUUAGUAAACCGUCCAUAGCGUUGACUGAUGAAGAAUUUGCUCACUUGGGGUCUGCAAGCGUGGGGCCACCUUAGGCCUUCGUGCGCUCUUGUUGAUUUGUGGUGCUCACAUUAACUUACACAAGUAUAUCUGGUUGUAAUCACAUGCAUGAAGUUGUAUAUUUAUGCCUUUUUGUAAUAAAUUCCAGUUGGAAGGCGG
Dermacentor albipictus is the source of this 3964-nucleotide RNA transcript. RefSeq lists it as uncharacterized. The record is from RefSeq and is a predicted model, not a curated record. Lineage: Eukaryota; Metazoa; Arthropoda; Arachnida; Ixodida; Ixodidae.